RNAcentral lists this ribosomal RNA (377 nucleotides) under uncultured eukaryote. Its description in RNAcentral is "partial 18S ribosomal RNA". It matches the Rfam family "Eukaryotic small subunit ribosomal RNA", at positions 592 to 976 of the family's 1831-position model. The record is from RNAcentral.
CAAUAGCGUAUAUUUAAGUUGUUGCAGUUAAAAAGCUCGUAGUUGGAUUUCGGGUGGGACGCAGCGGUCUCGCAUUGCGUUUGUACUGCUGCAGCCCUCCUUCUUGCCGGGGGCGGCCUCUCGGACUUCACUGUCUGGGGGUCAGAAUCGGCGAUGUUACUUUGAGUAAAUUAGAGUGUUCAAAGCAAGCUUACGCUCUGAAUAUAAUAGCAUGGGAUAACACGACAGGACUCUGGCCUAUCGUGUUGGUCUAUAGGACCAGAGUAAUGAUUAAGAGGGACAGUCGGGGCAUUCGUAUUCCGUUGUCAGAGGUGAAAUUCUUGGAUUUACGGAAGACGAACAUCUGCGAAAGCAUUUGCCAAGGAUGUUUUCAUUGA